UUUUUGAGAGACAGAGACAGAGCACAAGUGGGGAGGGGCAGAGAGAGAGGGAGACACAGAAUCCCAAGCGGGCUCCAGGCUCUGAGCUGUCAGUAGAAUCCGACCUGACCUUGAGAUCAAGACCUGACCCAUCUGAGGCUUAACGUACUGAGCCACCCAGGCUCCUCUUGCAAACACUCAUCUUAAGGAGAUUUUAAGGGUCAGGGAAAUCCUCUAGAACAACUUUUUCCGCAGUUGAAGACCAGGAAGCCGUGGAAAGGAAGGCUUGGCUGCUCUGUGGCAGCCGGCUCGGAACCGAGGCGAGAGGAGCCGUUGUAAACAUUGCCAUAGCUCAUCGUGGCAAAACAGAGGAUGAGCCCGCAGGGCCCGGAAGGAUUUGACAUAUCCUGUCCCUCAGGGUUUUUGUGGGAGGGUUGGGGGUUGGGGAACGGUUUUAUUUUCUUUCAGACUUAGGUAACUUGGAUGGUGGUUGAGGGAAGGCAGAGAAAUCAAGAUCUCCAUUUACAAAAGAAAUUUAGAGCCUGGGAAGGCGGCUUGGGAGUGGUGGCUACCACACUUCACUGACCACGCUACACCCCCUCCCUGGCGGGGCGCCCUCCCUGGCUGGCGUCCCCUUGAGGGGGAACACCCUCAAGCUGAGCCCCUGCCAGGAGCCCGCCCCAGCCUCUCGCUGAGGAACAAGCAAGAUGGCCGCCGCCGCCACUUCCGCGCACGCGGAGGGGAAAGCCACACAUUUCCGGGCAGAAUUCCUGACGGUGCUCUGGGAACGCCGGGUGGGAGUAGAUCACCAGUGGCGCUUCAUAUAGGUCCCGUGGUGUUAUUCAUUGUUUACAGUAUUGCACUUAAACUGAUGCAAAAUGCAUGAGAACUGUCAGAGAUCACUUUUUACUGUGGUACGCAAUGUCCUGGAGAGAUGAACUGCUCGCGUGGAGCAUAUGCAGUUACGACUCAAUACUUCAUCUUUAUGUUUGUUUACACUUCUCUCCAAUGCACCUGGUGCCGGAUUCUGGAUCAGUCCUCUUUUAGCGUUCUCUUAUCUGCAGUUCUAAAGUUGGAAAAACUGUCACGUCUGUUUGGUGAACUUCAGCAAUUGAAGAGAAAUGAAGGUUGAUUUUCAAAUGACCAUUAAGAGGCAAAGAAAUAAAUUGUCACAGUUAUAGGAUCUUUUCUUCUGAGUAACAAGGAGACUGUGCCACUUAUAUAAUGGCUGGUAUAAGUCUUUACUGACAAAGUGGUUUUUGUUCAGGGCCUUGGUUACCAUAAGUAAGGAUCAUUAGAGAAGCAGUCCUUAUUCAAUGAUUACAACUCUCCAAAAAAGAAAAUGAAAUGAAGUGCCAAUAUUCCCAUUAAGUUUUCACUUUGU
This is a long non-coding RNA of Panthera uncia (snow leopard), 1363 nucleotides long. RefSeq lists it as uncharacterized. Lineage: Eukaryota; Metazoa; Chordata; Mammalia; Carnivora; Felidae. The transcript is spliced from 4 exons. The record is from RefSeq and is a predicted model, not a curated record.